This 223-nucleotide ribosomal RNA is filed under the name uncultured bacterium. RNAcentral's name for it is "partial 16S ribosomal RNA". It matches the Rfam family "Bacterial small subunit ribosomal RNA", at positions 111 to 334 of the family's 1533-position model. The record is from RNAcentral.
UAAUGUAUUGGGGGAGUCUGCCCGAUAGAGGGGGAUAACUACUGGAAACGGUGGCUAAUACCGCAUAAUGUCUACGGACCAAAGCAGGGGCUCUUCGGACCCUGCACUAUCGGAUGAACCCAUAUGGGAUUAGCUAGUAGGUGGGGUAAAGGCUCACCUAGGCGACGAUCUCUAGCUGGUCUGAGAGGAUGAUCAGCCACACUGGGACUGAGACACGGCCCAG